GAUCCUGGCUCAGGAUGAACGCUAGCUACAGGCUUAACACAUGCAAGUCGAGGGGCAGCAUGGUCUUAGCUUGCUAAGACUGAUGGCGACCGGCGCACGGGUGAGUAACACGUAUCCAACCUGCCGUCUACUCUUGGACAGCCUUCUGAAAGGAAGAUUAAUACAAGAUGGCAUCAUGAGUCCGCAUGUUCACAUGAUUAAAGGUAUUCCGGUAGACAUGGGG
This 223-nucleotide ribosomal RNA is filed under the name uncultured bacterium. RNAcentral's name for it is "partial 16S ribosomal RNA". It matches the Rfam family "Bacterial small subunit ribosomal RNA", at positions 15 to 229 of the family's 1533-position model. The record is from RNAcentral.